GACGAACGCUGGCGGCGUGCUUAACACAUGCAAGUCGAACGGAAAGGCCCUGCUUUUGUUGGGUGCUCGAGUGGCGAACGGGUGAGUAACACGUGAGUAACCUGCCCUUUACUUUGGGAUAACUUCAGGAAACGGGGGCUAAUACCGGAUAAGAGCACCUGCUGCAUGGCGGGGGUUGGAAAGGUGCGGCGGAUGGGGUAGGACUCGCGGCUUCUCAGCUUGAUGGUGGGGUAGUGGCAUAGCAAGGCGAUGGCGGGUAGCCGGACUGAGAGGGUGACCGGCCACAUAGGGACUGAGGAACGGCCCAGAGUCCUACGGGAGGAAGCAGUGGGGAAUAGUGCGCAAUGGGCGGAAGCCGGAUGCAGGAACGCCGGGUGCGGGAUGACGGCCGUCGGGGUGUAAACCGCGUGCGCCUGUGACGAAGCGUGAGUGACGGUAAUGGGUAAAGAAGCAACGGCUAACUACGUG
This 468-nucleotide ribosomal RNA is filed under the name uncultured bacterium. Its description in RNAcentral is "partial 16S ribosomal RNA". It matches the Rfam family "Bacterial small subunit ribosomal RNA", at positions 28 to 507 of the family's 1533-position model. The record is from RNAcentral.